CACUUUGGACAUUUUGACUGAUGUCACUUUAAAGCAAAUAUUAAGGACAAAAGUGGCGAGAGUGGAAAAGAGCAGACGACUACCCGAAGUAUCAGAGCGGACCUGGGGUAUACCAGAGGCCCGACAAGACACAGCAGGAUGGAUGCCUAGGACGCCACAGGCCUGCAACGUGGAUCCUACUUGGGUCUGAGGUUGAAGUUUUAGAACAAUUGGGAACAUAGGCAGUACGCUCAGCUCCCAAGAGAUGGGUGCCUCGUGCUGUGGAGAGAGCACCCCGUGCUGUGGAGAGAGCGCCCCGUGACUGCUUACCGGCGUCAAAAGCUGCCUUCUUCCUGCAGUGCUGACGGCUCCUGGUUCCUGGCCAUGCGGAGAGCAGGAGGCACACAUUCACUCCCCUGCAAAGUUCUCAGAGUGACCACUCUAAUCUCUGGGAUUCAGGCCCUUGUUGGUUGUGACUGUUUCUGCCUGAAGAUCUGCAUUUAAUGAGCCUGUGGUGGUUACCUGCAUGUGGGUGUUUUUUACUAUGAGUUGCUGCACCUGGCUAGAGGACCUGACGAUUGCUCAAACUUUUGUGCUUAGUCAAACAGACUUACUAUACCAUUUUGUUUGUGGAGCACUACCUAUGAAUUGUAAAAGAGCAGCAGGUCGUUAUCCUCAGGUUUAUUUUAUACAGCGGCUAAAUCUGAAAUUUCAUUCCUUUACUCUCCUGUUUUUCUCGUAUAAUGUCAACAAAUGGGUUGUGGCCGAGAGAUCAAACUAAUUCACCUCCAGAGAGUGAAAUCCAACAUCAACUUUCUUUUUGUAGGAUAACAUAGCUAAAUAUUUUUAAGGGGUGAUAUGUAAAAUACGUAAUUUAAAUCUGAAAUUCAUUUUUAGGUUUAAAUAGGUUAUGCAAUAGCAAGGAAGAGCUUGGCUUUAAAAAUAAAUCUUCCAAAAUGCAAAUUGAGUUGUCAAAUUCUUAUGCUUUUUAGUUAAGAUAGUCACUGCUGCCAUUUCUGGAUAUUUGUGGCUUUGAAUUUGUGUCAUAGAUCCUACACUUUUAAUGUUGGACAAAGCAAUCAUUUUGCCUUUAUAUCCUCAUUUCUCAGUCCUAGAAUUCAAAAUGCAGUGCUGGAGAAGAAUUUGUUGAUACUAAGUUCAGUAAUGUUACUGUACUUUUCCAGAAGUUUAUUAGUAUUUGAAGC
Long non-coding RNA from Manis pentadactyla (Chinese pangolin), 1184 nucleotides. RefSeq lists it as uncharacterized. The transcript is spliced from 3 exons. The record is from RefSeq and is a predicted model, not a curated record. Lineage: Eukaryota; Metazoa; Chordata; Mammalia; Pholidota; Manidae.